GGCCCGCUGGCCAAAUGGUAAGGCGUCAGAUUUCGGCUCUGAAGAUUGGGCGUUCGAGCCGCCCGUGGGUCG
This 72-nucleotide transfer RNA is filed under the name Neurospora crassa. Its description in RNAcentral is "tRNA-Arg (TCG) (tRNA-Arg-TCG-2-1)". It matches the Rfam family "tRNA". Rfam says of the family: Transfer RNA (tRNA) molecules are approximately 80 nucleotides in length. Their secondary structure includes four short double-helical elements and three loops (D, anti-codon, and T loops). Lineage: Eukaryota; Fungi; Ascomycota; Sordariomycetes; Sordariales; Sordariaceae. RNAcentral also lists the same sequence under 8 other names. The record is from RNAcentral.